Long non-coding RNA from Bradysia coprophila, 75 nucleotides. Lineage: Eukaryota; Metazoa; Arthropoda; Insecta; Diptera; Sciaridae. The record is from RefSeq and is a predicted model, not a curated record.
CUUUACGUCAUCUCAAUAGUCGGGUCCCUUGUGUCAAUCCGCUCGCUCUAACUUUUACUAAAUUUUCAGUUAUCA